RNAcentral lists this long non-coding RNA (228 nucleotides) under Ananas comosus (pineapple). Its description in RNAcentral is "long non-coding RNA (ACOM_LNC010422)". Lineage: Eukaryota; Viridiplantae; Streptophyta; Magnoliopsida; Poales; Bromeliaceae. The record is from RNAcentral.
AUUUCGUCCCUCUUUCGACAGUAUAUUGUCUGCAGCCAAUAUACUUAUCAAAAAAAAAGCGAAAUAUCCGAAGAUCCACUACCAACAACAAGUUGGAAGUGUGACACAUCGAAGUAUCAAGCCACCUGAUACCUCUUCACUGAACCAGAAGCUCACAACCAUUACUAUCGUAACAUCAAUUUUACAAGUCGACAUUCGAACUUAGAACGACCCUGAACCGACUCACAG